AUUGUACAUUAAUUUAAUAUAAAGUAUAUAGCUGGUAACUUUAUACACAUCUUGCCUUGAACCACCACUCAGAGAGAGAUAAAGCCCUGUCUCCAGCUUCACCCAUGCCUCUUUUUAUUGGUUCCACCCUACAGACAUCCUGUAUCAUCCACCUUUACAGGAGGAUGCCAUGCUCCUGUCUUCUACCAGUGUGAACCGUAUUUCCUCAGACUCUACAGCAAUGGAAUACUUGUAUGUCUUUGGCUUCUUACUUCUUUUUAUCGACAUGAGUUUUUCAAUUUAUCUAUGUGUUUGCUUAGGUAGUAAUUUCUUCCUUUUAUUUUGAAUAAUUCUCUAUGACAUGAGCAUGUCAUAGUAAAUUUAUUCCUGAUUUCAUGUGUUGUUUUAGCUUUGAGGUUGUUAUUAACUUUCAGGGAUUUUUUAUAGUGUCUUUUAUGGACUUCUUUGCUCUCUUCCCCUGACUAUAUUCUUAGGACUGAAAGUAGUGAGUGAUGGACUUGGUUAGCACUGCUUUAUCUUUAGCAAAUGCUCCUUGGACAUUUUAUAAAACUGAGAACAAAUUUACAUGCUACCAGCCAUGCACAAAAACGUGUGUUGUCUGAAGCCUUUCUAAUACUUAUUGUUUUUUGGCUUUUAAGGUGAUAUUGUCAUUAGAACUUAUGUUUCUUUAAUGAGUAAUGAUUAUUGAAUAACUUCUUGGUUUUUUUGGUCAUUUGAAUGCUAUUUGGGGGGAUGACUUGCAGUUAAAUAAAACAGUGCAUACAGAUAAACAUGCAGUUUCCUAUUUUAUUGGGUAGUUUUUAUGUAUCUUGAAAUAAAUUAUUGUCAAUACAUUGAUUAGGCUUCUCCAGAAAGAGUUAGAAUUAUCUCUCUAUGUAUGUGUCUAGCUAUCUACCUGUGUAUUUAUCAUUUAUAUCUAUAAUACAUAUGAACUUUUUAGUUGGUUCACAUGAUAGCUGAAGGUAAAAUGAUCUACAAUGACUGCAAACUGGAGAGCCAGGAAAGUUUACACCUGUUCUGCCUAAGAAGCUGGAAAUCUCAGAAUGAAAGAGACUGGCACACUAUCCUAGUUCAUAACAAAAUCUUGAAAGCUCCCAGAGAGAGGUUCCCUGAGGCAAAUCCAUAUUGAGGAUCGAAAAGCAUAGAAUCUGAUAUCCACAAGCAAGAGAACCAUAAGAUGCACCCACUUCAGAAGGAAGAGCAAAAAAGGAAACGGUGUCAGUACAGGGAAGGAACAGAAACCUGGUGGUGCUCAUCUGUGCAGGUGUGGUUGUCCACUGACCGACAUUACUGAGCCUAAGUGCAAGCUGCCUUUGUGAAUUCUCUUCAGAGUAAGGCUGCACCAGGGAUCUCGGGAAAGAUCUCAAAACUGCAAAGGAAAUGUCUAUGUGGAAGACAAACUCCAUAGAAAGACUUAUUUCAAUGAGAUGCAUUCUAGCACCUAGGGAGAUGAUGAGAAACAUUAUUUGUAGAAAGAAGCAAUGUCCCUGUCAUGCAUUAAAAACUAGUGGUCAAUUUAGUAUCAGCUGAAUUAAAUCUGCAUGAUUCUGAGUGUAGAUGGCCCACCUGAGGAAAACUACCAGCAUAUGAAGAUAUGUGGAGGGGAGGAGAAGGUGCUGUGGUGUCUUCUAAGUGUUGUCUUUUGGAGCUUACCUUGAUAUGAAUUUGGUCAUUAUCAUUGGAGGAGCUUGUGACCUUGUUGCUGAGAAUGAUCACAGUUCACUUUGGGUUAGGUCUUGUCCUUUUGUUCAUCAUUGCUACCUGAUUCUGAAGUGGAAGAUGUGUGCUAUUUAAUUUCUGUGAGAAGCUCAUCAUGCUGUCUUCCUGGCAUGUAGUUGGCUAUUAUCAUAGGAGGAGCUCAGGACCUCAUUUUCACUGACGAUGUCUGUGAUAAUUUUCUAGGAAGACCUGGUCCUUAUUUUGAGCAUUUCUUCUUGGCUCCAUUGUCGAACUCUCAAGCUACACGCUCAGAUCCUUCAUUCCACUGGCAUAGACUUUCUAGCUUCCACCACUGAUCUUUGGGCCUUCCCAGAAAAGAUCCACAAAAUAGACUUGCAUGAAUCAUUGUGGUGGGUUCUAGACUUCCAUUUGGACUCAUGGCAGGCAUUGUUAUGGGCUCCAGGUCUUCAGCUGGACUCAUGCAAAACACUAUUUUGGGAUCCAGGCCCUCAGCUGGAUUUUCUAGGUCUUCACUGUUAUGCCCAGAUUACCUGUACUUCAUUGUAGUUUAUGCUGGGUGACCAUGAUAAAAUAAUAUUAUAAAUUUGCAUCUGAGCAGG
Cavia porcellus (domestic guinea pig) is the source of this 2279-nucleotide long non-coding RNA. RefSeq lists it as uncharacterized. The record is from RefSeq and is a predicted model, not a curated record. The transcript is spliced from 2 exons. Lineage: Eukaryota; Metazoa; Chordata; Mammalia; Rodentia; Caviidae.